RNAcentral lists this ribosomal RNA (548 nucleotides) under uncultured Glomeromycotina. RNAcentral describes it as "SSU rRNA". It matches the Rfam family "Eukaryotic small subunit ribosomal RNA", at positions 548 to 1097 of the family's 1831-position model. The record is from RNAcentral. Lineage: Eukaryota; Fungi; Glomeromycota.
UUGGAGGGCAAGUCUGGUGCCAGCAGCCGCGGUAAUUCCAGCUCCAAUAGCGUAUAUUAAAGUUGUUGCAGUUAAAAAGCUCGUAGUUGAAUUUCGGGGUCAGUAGAUUGGUCGUGCCACUGGUAUGUACUGGUCUCACUGGCUCCUCCUUCCUGAUGAACCGUAAUGCCAUUAAUUUGGUGUUGCGGGGAGACUGGACUGUUACUUUGAAAAAAUUAGAGUGUUUAAAGCAGGCUAACGCUUGAAUACAUUAGCAUGGAAUAAUGAAGUAGGACGUUCGAUCUUAUUUUGUUGGUUUCUAAGAUUGACGUAAUGAUUAAUAGGGAUAGUUGGGGGCAUUAGUAUUCAAUUGUCAGAGGUGAAAUUCUUGGAUUCAUUGAAGACUAACUACUGCGAAAGCAUUUGCCAAGGAUGUUUUCAUUAAUCAAGAACGAAAGUUAGGGGAUCGAAGACGAUCAGAUACCGUCGUAGUCUUAACCAUAAACUAUGCCGACUAGGGAUCGGAUGAUGUUAAUUUUUUAAUGACUCAUUCGGCGCCUUACGGGAAA